AACUACAGUACAUUGGUUUCCAUAAUGGCUAUCACCAUGCCUAAGAAGUUUGUCUGUCUGCUGGUUUUUAAUUUGACUCUGACUGAAAUUAUUUUAAGUGGAAAUGUGUUAAUUUGGCCAACAGAUGGUAGCCAUUGGUUAAAUAUUAAGAUCAUUCUAGAAGAGUUAACUCAAAGAAAUCACAAUGUGACUGUACUGGCUUCAUCAGCAACUUUAUUCAUCAACUCCAAUCCUGAUUCUCCUGUGAAUUUUGAGGUGAUACCUGUUUCCUUCACAAAGAGUAAUAUAGAUUCCUUAAUUGAACAUAUGGUUAUGUUGUGGACAGAUCAUAGACCAACUCCUCUCACACUCUGGACUUUCUACAAAGAACUAGGAAAACUCCUAGAUACUUUUUUUCAAAUUAACAUACAAAUCUGUGAUGGAGUAUUAAAUAACCCCAAGUUAAUGUCAAGACUUCAGAAAGGUAGUUUUGAUGUGCUAGUAGCUGACCCAGUAACAAUCUGUGGGGACCUGGUUGCUCUGAAAUUAGGAAUUCCAUUUAUGUACACAUUGAGGUUCUCUCCAGCCUCAACGGUAGAGAGACACUGUGGGAAAAUCCCCGCACCUGCCUCCUAUGUACCCGCAGCCUUGUCAGAGCUCACUGACCAGAUGACCUUUGGUGAAAGGGUUAAAAAUGCCAUAUCCUAUCCUCUGCAAGACUAUAUAUUUCAGUCCUACUGGGGAGAAUGGAAUGUGUACUACAGCAAAGUUCUAGGUAAGUCUCUACAAUGUCCACUUAUUAAUGACUCUUAA
This is an RNA transcript of Myotis lucifugus (little brown bat), 792 nucleotides long. It is a transcript of the gene named UDP-glucuronosyltransferase 2A2 pseudogene, with no coding region annotated. NCBI's taxonomy places the organism in Eukaryota, Metazoa, Chordata, Mammalia, Chiroptera, Vespertilionidae. The transcript has a single exon. The record is from RefSeq and is a predicted model, not a curated record.